Gallus gallus (chicken) is the source of this 570-nucleotide long non-coding RNA. The record is from Ensembl. Lineage: Eukaryota; Metazoa; Chordata; Aves; Galliformes; Phasianidae.
UCUAGUUACUAAGCAUCUAAUUUGAAUCAACUGUGGGAAAAGAAAGCAUUGAAGGUGCUGUGACACCUGGAAAUUGUCUGAAUGAAAACAAUUCUGAUACUUGUGUAGCAUUUGGUGUCUAUUGUAAAUCUGGCAAACCUGCCUAAAGAAAUGUGUACAGAACAGACGGAAUCUUUAACUUAUCUGCAGUGGCUCCACUGGCUAAACUUGCACUCUCUGCUAAUGGUCUGCCCUAACCAGAAAUAUGCUGAUGUCCAGCCACAUCUCUAAGACAAGGAUGAUAGCUGCUUGACCUCCAGCUGUUGCUGUUCUUCAAGUUACAGCUGUUUUCAGCAAGGAUGGUAUUAGCGGACCUCUAACCCCCUGAAAGGAAAUCAAGACAGAGAAAGGAAGGAUGGACCAUUGGGCUUGGAAUGUGCAGUGCUACUUUAAGGACUUUUACACUUUUGAAGCCAUUUUCACAAAAGGAAAUGUUAACAGUCUGCCACUGAGAAGGCAACUGAGUACCCCAGCAAAACUUAGAACUGCAUGGUCAGAUACAGAUGAAAAUCUUCAAACAGUUGCCUUAAG